This 109-nucleotide non-coding RNA is filed under the name Nomascus leucogenys (northern white-cheeked gibbon). Its description in RNAcentral is "Eukaryotic large subunit ribosomal RNA". It matches the Rfam family "Eukaryotic large subunit ribosomal RNA", at positions 1218 to 1332 of the family's 3401-position model. Lineage: Eukaryota; Metazoa; Chordata; Mammalia; Primates; Hylobatidae. The record is from Rfam by way of RNAcentral.
AAAAUGUUAUUUCCUAGCAGGACGGUGGCCAUGGAAGUCGGAAUCCGCUAAGGAGUGUGUAACAACUCACCUGCCGAAUCAACUAGCCCUGAAAAUGGAUGGAACUGGA